Non-coding RNA from Triticum aestivum (bread wheat), 135 nucleotides. The record is from Rfam. NCBI's taxonomy places the organism in Eukaryota, Viridiplantae, Streptophyta, Magnoliopsida, Poales, Poaceae.
UUUCUACUCCCUCCAUCCGAAAAUACUUGUCAUCAAAAUGGAUAAAAAUAGAUGUAUCUAAAACUAAAAUACGUCUAGAUACAUUUCCUUUUAUCCAUUUUGAUGACAAGUAUUUCCGGACGGAGGGAGUAUUUG